This 395-nucleotide unclassified non-coding RNA is filed under the name soil metagenome. Its description in RNAcentral is "partial contains 5.8S ribosomal RNA, internal transcribed spacer 2, and large subunit ribosomal RNA". The stretch from base 1 to 120 matches the Rfam family "5.8S ribosomal RNA", at positions 35 to 154 of the family's 154-position model. The record is from RNAcentral.
GAUGAAGAACGUAGCGAAAUGCGAUAAGUAAUGUGAAUUGCAGAAUUCAGUGAAUCAUCGAAUCUUUGAACGCACCUUGCGCCUUUUGGUAUUCCGAAAGGCACACCUGUUUGAGCGUCAUGAAUACCUCAAUCUCCAUCUUUUCUUCGGAUUGAUGGGUGACUUGGAUGUUGAGCCCUGCUGGUAUGCUAUAUCAGCUGGCUUUAAACUUAUUAGCCGGCUCUGUACUGGAUCGGUUUGACUCGACGUGAUAAUAUUAUCGUUGAGGAUGCAUGUCUCAUGCAGCCGGAAAGUAUCAAAGCAGCUUCUAGCUUGCCUUUAGUGCACUUUUACAUUUUAGAGCUCAGAUCAGGUGGGACUACCCGCUGAACUUAAGCAUAUCAAUAAGCGGAGGA